Molecule: ribosomal RNA, 481 nt
Filed under: uncultured bacterium
Lineage: Bacteria
Description: partial 16S ribosomal RNA
Rfam family: Bacterial small subunit ribosomal RNA
Source: RNAcentral
AUUGAACGCUGGCGGCAUGCCUUACACAUGCAAGUCGAACGGUAACAGGUCUUCGGAUGCUGACGAGUGGCGAACGGGUGAGUAAUACAUCGGAACGUGCCCAGACGUGGGGGAUAACGAGGCGAAAGCUUUGCUAAUACCGCAUACGAUCUAAGGAUGAAAGCAGGGGACCGCAAGGCCUUGUGCGUUUGGAGCGGCCGAUGGCAGAUUAGGUAGUUGGUGGGAUAAAAGCUUACCAAGCCGACGAUCUGUAGCUGGUCUGAGAGGACGACCAGCCACACUGGGACUGAGACACGGCCCAGACUCCUACGGGAGGCAGCAGUGGGGAAUUUUGGACAAUGGGCGAAAGCCUGAUCCAGCAAUGCCGCGUGCAGGAUGAAGGCCUUCGGGUUGUAAACUGCUUUUGUACGGAACGAAAAGGCUCUGGCUAAUACCUGGGGCACAUGACGGUACCGUAAGAAUAAACACCGGCUAACUACGU